GACGAACGCUGGCGGCGUGCCUAAUACAUGCAAGUUGAGCGCUGAAGGUUGGUACUUGUACCAACUGGAUGAGCAGCGAACGGGUGAGUAACGCGUGGGGAAUCUGCCUUUGAGCGGGGGACAACAUUUGGAAACGAAUGCUAAUACCGCAUAAAAACUUUAAACACAAGUUUUAAGUUUGAAAGAUGCAAUUGCAUCACUCAAAGAUGAUCCCGCGUUGUAUUAGCUAGUUGGUGAGGUAAAGGCUCACCAAGGCGAUGAUACAUAGCCGACCUGGGAGGGUGGGCGGCCACAUUGGGACUGAGACACGGCCCAAACUCCUACGGGAGGCAGCAGGAGGGAAACUUCGGGAAUGGACGGAAGUCUGACCGAGCCACGCCGCGGGAGGGAAGAAGGUUUUCGGGUCGUAAAACUCUGUUGGUAGGGAAGAACGUUGGUGAGAGUGGAAAGCUCAUCAAGUGACGGUAACUACCCAGAAAGGGACGGCUAACUACGUG
This 497-nucleotide ribosomal RNA is filed under the name uncultured bacterium. RNAcentral's name for it is "partial 16S ribosomal RNA". It matches the Rfam family "Bacterial small subunit ribosomal RNA", at positions 28 to 507 of the family's 1533-position model. The record is from RNAcentral.